UCAGGAUGAACGCUGGCGGCGUGCCUAAUACAUGCAAGUCGAACGCAUUGUGGUUGAAAUGAUAUGAAGAACUUGUUCAGAUUUGAUUUUCAACAUUGCAAUGAGUGGCGAACGGGUGAGUAACACGUGGGAAACCUACCUCUUAGCAGGGGAUAACAUUUGGAAACAAAUGCUAAUACCGUAUAAUAAUUAAAACCGCAUGGUUUUAGUUUAAAAGAUGGUCUUGCUAUCACUAAGAGAUGGUCCCGCGGUGUAUUAGUUAGUUGGUGAGGUAAUGGCUCACCAAGACAAUGAUACAUAGCCGAGUUGAGAGACUGACCGGCCACAAUGGGACUGAGACACGGCCCAUACUCCUACGGGAGGCAGCAGUAGGGAAUCUUCCACAAUGGACGAAAGUCUGAUGGAGCAACGCCGCGUGUGUGAUGAAGGGUUUCGGCUCGUAAAACACUGUUGUAAGAGAAGAAUGACAUUGAGAGUAACUGUUCAAUGUGUGACGGUAUCUUACCAGAAAGGAACGGCUAAAUACGUGCCAGCAGCCGCGGUAAUACGUAUGUUCCAAGCGUUAUCCGGAUUUAUUGGGCGUAAAGCGAGCGCAGACGGUUAUUUAAGUCUGAAGUGAAAGCCCUCGGGCUCAACCGAGGAAUUGCUUUGGAAACUGGAUAACUUGAGUGCAGUAGAGGAAAGUGGAACUCCAUGUGUAGCGGUGAAAUGCGUAGAUAUAUGGAAGAACACCAGUGGCGAAGGCGGCUUUCUGGACUGUAACUGACGUUGAGGCUCGAAAGUGUGGGUAGCAAACAGGAUUAGAUACCCUGGUAGUCCACACUGUAAACGAUGAGUGCUAGUUGUUCGAGGGUUUCCGCCCUUGAGUGACGAAGCUAACGCAUUAAGCACUCCGCCUGGGGAGUACGACCGCAAGGUUGAAACUCAAAGGAAUUGACGGGGACCCGCACAAGCGGUGGAGCAUGUGGUUUAAUUCGAAGCAACGCGAAGAACCUUACCAGGUCUUGACAUCCUUUGACCACUCCAGAGAUGGAGCUUUCCCUUCGGGGACAAAGUGACAGGUGGUGCAUGGUUGUCGUCAGCUCGUGUCGUGAGAUGUUGGGUUAAGUCCCGCAACGAGCGCAACCCUUAUUGUUAGUUGCCAGCAUUUAGUUGGGCACUCUAGCAAGACUGCCGGUGACAAACCGGAGGAAGGCGGGGAUGACGUCAAAUCAUCAUGCCCCUUAUGACCUGGGCUACACACGUGCUACAAUGGCAAGUACAACGAGUCGCCAACCCGCGAGGGUGCGCAAAUCUCUUAAAGCUUGUCCAGUUCGGACUGUAGGCUGCAACUCGCCUACACGAAGUCGGAAUCGCUAGUAAUCGCGGAUCAGCACGCCGCGGUGAAUACGUUCCCGGGUCUUGUACACACCGCCCGUCACACCAUGAGAGUUUGUAACACCCAAAGUCGGUGAGGUAACCUUUUAUUAGGAGCCAGCCGCCUAAGGUGGGACAGAUGAUUAGGGUGAAGUC
This 1512-nucleotide ribosomal RNA is filed under the name Weissella koreensis. RNAcentral's name for it is "bacterial SSU rRNA". It matches the Rfam family "Bacterial small subunit ribosomal RNA". The record is from RNAcentral. Lineage: Bacteria; Bacillati; Bacillota; Bacilli; Lactobacillales; Lactobacillaceae.